AGUCGAACGGAAACGAUGGAAGCUUGCUUCCAGGCGUCGAGUGGCGGACGGGUGAGUAACGCGUAGGAAUCUGCCUGAUAGUGGGGGAUAGCCCGGAGAAAUCCGGAUUAAUACCGCAUAGUCUAUUCGUAGUAAAGGGGGCCUCUAUUUAUAAGCUCUCGCUAUCAGAUGAGCCUGCGUCAGAUUAGCUUGUUGGUGAGGUAAAAGCUCACCAAGGCAACGAUCUGUAGCUGGUCUGAGAGGAUGAUCAGCCACACUGGGACUGAGACACGGCCCAGGCUCCUACGGGAGGCAGCAGUGGGAAAUAUUGGACAAUGGGGGCAACCCUGAUCCAGCAAUGCCGCGUGUGUGAAGAAGGCCUGAGGGUUGUAAAGCACUUUCAAUUGUGAAGAAAGGUUAAUAGUUAAUACCUAUUGACUGUGACGUUAACUUUAGAAGAAGCACCGGCUAACUCCGUGCCAGCAGCCGCGGUAAUACGGAGGGUGCAAGCGUUAAUCGGAAUUACUGGGCGUAAAGCGUGCGUAGGUGGUUGUUUAAGUCAGAUGUGAAAGCCCCGGGCUUAACCUGGGAACUGCAUUUGAAACUGGAUAACUAGAGUAUAGUAGAGGAAAGUAGAAUUUCUGGUGUAGCGGUGAAAUGCGUAGAUAUCAGAAGGAAUACCGAUGGCGAAGGCAGCUUUCUGGACUAAUACUGACACUGAGGUACGAAAGCGUGGGUAGCAAACAGGAUUAGAUACCCUGGUAGAAGGGC
This 750-nucleotide ribosomal RNA is filed under the name uncultured Gammaproteobacteria bacterium. RNAcentral describes it as "bacterial SSU rRNA". It matches the Rfam family "Bacterial small subunit ribosomal RNA", at positions 60 to 795 of the family's 1533-position model. Lineage: Bacteria; Pseudomonadati; Pseudomonadota; Gammaproteobacteria. The record is from RNAcentral.